This 1371-nucleotide ribosomal RNA is filed under the name uncultured bacterium. RNAcentral describes it as "bacterial SSU rRNA". It matches the Rfam family "Bacterial small subunit ribosomal RNA", at positions 28 to 1381 of the family's 1533-position model. The record is from RNAcentral.
GAUGAACGCUGGCGGCGUGCCUAAUACAUGCAAGUCGAGCGAACGGACGAGAAGCUUGCUUCUCUGAUGUUAGCGGCGGACGGGUGAGUAACACGUGGAUAACCUACCUAUAAGACUGGGAUAACUUCGGGAAACCGGAGCUAAUACCGGAUAAUAUUUUGAACCGCAUGGUUCAAAAGUGAAAGACGGUCUUGCUGUCACUUAUAGAUGGAUCCGCGCUGCAUUAGCUAGUUGGUAAGGUAACGGCUUACCAAGGCAACGAUGCAUAGCCGACCUGAGAGGGUGAUCGGCCACACUGGAACUGAGACACGGUCCAGACUCCUACGGGAGGCAGCAGUAGGGAAUCUUCCGCAAUGGGCGAAAGCCUGACGGAGCAACGCCGCGUGAGUGAUGAAGGUCUUCGGAUCGUAAAACUCUGUUAUUAGGGAAGAACAUAUGUGUAAGUAACUGUGCACAUCUUGACGGUACCUAAUCAGAAAGCCACGGCUAACUACGUGCCAGCAGCCGCGGUAAUACGUAGGUGGCAAGCGUUAUCCGGAAUUAUUGGGCGUAAAGCGCGCGUAGCGGUUUUUUAAGUCUGAUGUGAAAGCCCACGGCUCAACCGUGGAGGGUCAUUGGAAACUGGAAAACUUGAGUGCAGAAGAGGAAAGUGGAAUUCCAUGUGUAGCGGUGAAAUGCGCAGAGAUAUGGAGGAACACCAGUGGCGAAGGCGACUUUCUGGUCUGUAACUGACGCUGAUGUGCGAAAGCGUGGGGAUCGAACAGGAUUAGAUACCCUGGUAGUCCACGCCGUAAACGAUGAGUGCUAAGUGUUAGGGGGUUUCCGCCCCUUAGUGCUGCAGCUAACGCAUUAAGCACUCCGCCUGGGGAGUACGACCGCAAGGUUGAAACUCAAAGGAAUUGACGGGGACCCGCACAAGCGGUGGAGCAUGUGGUUUAAUUCGAAGCAACGCGAAGAACCUUACCAAAUCUUGACAUCCUUUGACAACUCUAGAGAUAGAGCCUUCCCCUUCGGGGGACAAAGUGACAGGUGGUGCAUGGUUGUCGUCAGCUCGUGUCGUGAGAUGUUGGGUUAAGUCCCGCAACGAGCGCAACCCUUAAGCUUAGUUGCCAUCAUUAAGUUGGGCACUCUAAGUUGACUGCCGGUGACAAACCGGAGGAAGGUGGGGAUGACGUCAAAUCAUCAUGCCCCUUAUGAUUUGGGCUACACACGUGCUACAAUGGACAAUACAAAGGGCAGCGAAACCGCGAGGUCAAGCAAAUCCCAUAAAGUUGUUCUCAGUUCGGAUUGUAGUCUGCAACUCGACUACAUGAAGCUGGAAUCGCUAGUAAUCGUAGAUCAGCAUGCUACGGUGAAUACGUUCCCGGGUCU